AUGAAGCUGUUAAAUACAACAUCAAACACAGGGCAAGCCCAGCAGGGGGUCUUCUGUCAGUCUGACGUCCUUUCUACUGAGGGUCUGUCUGGUGUGUGUGUUGGUGGCGGGGCCCCCUGCAGAACGGAGAAGGCCUUCGUUGCUCCUCCAUAUCGCUGCAGCGUGAUGACAUCACAACACGGAAACAAGAGAGGGGGAGGGGUGGGAGGGAGGGAGGGAGGGGAUGAGAAAGAGAGGAGGAGAGAGAGAGAGAGAAGGGCUGAUAACCAAGACAACGACACAAAGAUGGCGACAGAUUCCACUGCGGGACGCCAACGGGAGUCCAGAUUAACAGAUCGUCCUGCGGAGUACCAGAACCGUUGUCCGUUACAACGGGACGACGAUCGGCCUGACACCGCGACACGACCACCACCGACCCCGCCACAUCAUCGCCACGCCAUGUAGCCUCCUAGAGGAGGACAGAGACCUGGAGGAUAAACAACACCAACAGACAGACAGAGACCUGGAGGAUAAACAACACCAACAGACAGACAGAGACCUGGAGGAUAAACAACACCAACAGACAGACAGAGACCUGGAGGAUAAACAACACCAACAAACAGACAGAGACCUGGAGGAUAAACAACACCAACAGACAGACAGAGACCUGGAGGAUAAACAACACCAACAGACAGACAGUAGCUACAGAUGAGUUAUAUAGAGUUUACACAGACUGAGAUAUGACUCUGGUCUGGACUACAGAUGAGUUAUAUAGAGUUUACACAGACUGAGAUAUGACUCUGGUCUGGACUACAGGGGAGUUAUAUAGAGUUUACACAGACUGAGAUAUGACUCUGGUCUGGACUACAGGGGAGUUAUAUAGAGUUUACACAGACUGAGAUAUGACUCUAGUCUGGACGACAGAUGAGUUAUAUAGAGUUUACACAGACUGAGAUAUGGCUCUGGUCUGGACUACAGAUGAGUUAUAUAGAGUUUACACAGACUGAGAUAUGACUCUAGUCUGGACUACAGGGGAGUUAUAUAGAGUUUACACAGACUGAGAUAUGACUCUAGUCUGGACGACAGAUGAGUUAUAUAGAGUUUACACAGACUGAGAUAUGGCUCUGGUCUGGACUACAGAUGAGUUAUAUAGAGUUUACACAGACUGAGAUAUGGCUCUGGUCUGGACUACAGGGGAGUUAUAUAGAGUUUACACAGACUGAGAUAUGACUCUAGUCUGGACUACAGGGGAGUUAUAUAGAGUUUACACAGACUGAGAUAUGACUCUGGUCUGGACUACAGAUGAGUUAUAUAGAGUUUACACAGACUGAGAUAUGACUCUGGUUACAGAAAUUGGAGUCUGUCUGUCUCUCUCCUCUGUUCUAUCCAAUCCCAAUUCUCUCUCCCUAUCGAUCUCCUUCCCCAUUAGUUGAGCUACCUACUUGACCCCCCCCUCUCUGUCUCUCUCUACCCCCCCCCCCCUCUCUCUCUCUCUCUCUCUCUCUCUCCCUCACCUCUUCUCUCUCCCUCCUCUUUCCCCUCUCUCUCUCCCUCCCCUCCUCUCUCUCUCCCUCCCCUCCUCUCUCUCCCUGUCUCUCUCCCUGCUCUCUCUCUCCCUCCUCUCUCUCUCACUCUCUCUCUCUCUCUCCCUCACCUCCUCUCGCUCCCUCCCUCCUCACACUCCCUGUCUCUCUCCCCUCUCUCUCUCUCUCCCUCUUCUCUCUCCCUCCUCUCCUCACUCUCCCUGUCUCUCUCCCUCCCCUCCUCACUCUCCCUGUCUCUCUCCCUCCACUCCUCACUCUCCCUGUCUCUCUCCCUCCUCUCCUCUCUCUCCCUUCACUCAUCUACUCCCUUCACUCAGUAAGAUAUUGGAGGGUAUUGUGAGUCGACAAAUAUGGGAGUACAUGGAAAAGAAUGAUCUUAUUACAGCCAAUCAGCAUGCUUAUCACAAAAACCCUUGCACUACCACUGCAUUUUUUGACAUGACCGACCAGUGGCUCAAUGCUACGGAUAAUGGCAGGUUUGUGGGUGUAUUCUUUUUAGAUUUUACUGCAGCAUUUGAUUUAGUGGAUCAUGAGAUCAUUUUGACAAAAAUGAAAUGCAUUAUGGUUUUAAGGAAGUAGCAUUGAAUUGGGUACAGUCAUAUCUAACUGACAGGAAACAGUCCACCUGUAUCAACGGGUAAUUUUCUUCCCCUCGUGCUUUAAACUGUGGAAUUACCGCAGGGCAGUUGCCUUGGGCCACUUCUUAAUUUAAUAUAUACCAAUGACCUUCCUUAUGCCUUAUCUGAAACUCAAGCUACUAUAUUUACAGAUGAUACAACAUUUUAUGCAGCAAGACAAUCGGUUCAACAGGUACAGCUUUACAAGUAGAUUUGGAGAAUAUCAGGGAGUGGGUUUGCCAGAACAAACUUGUUUUAAAUACCAAGAAAGCCAAAGUUAUGUUGGUCUGUUCCACUAAGAAAAGGCCAACAUAGCAUUGGAUACAAUUAAGUAUGGAGGGAGUACAAAUUGAGGAAGUGUCAGAAACCAAACUACCGGGACCGCAGUUAGACAACUGAGGAAGUGUCAGAAACCAAACUACCGGGACCGCAGUUAGACAACUGAGGAAGUGGCAGAAACCAAACUACCGGGACCGCAGCUAGACAACUGAGGAAGUGGCAGAAACCAAACUACCGGGAGUGCAGUUAGACAACUGAGGAAGUGUCAGAAACCAAACUACCGGGACCGCAGUUAGACAACUGAGGAAGCGUCAGAAACCAAACUACCGGGAGUGCAGCUAGACAACUGAGGAAGUGGCAGAAACCAAACUACCGGGAGUGCAGUUAGACAACUGAGGAAGUGUCAGAAACCAAACUACCGGGACCGCAGUUAGACAACUGAGGAAGCGUCAGAAACCAAACUACCGGGAGUGCAGCUAGACAACUGAGGAAGUGUCAGAAACCAAACUACCGGGACCGCAGUUAGACAACUGAGGAAGCGUCAGAAACCAAACUACCGGGAGUGCAGCUAGACAACUGAGGAAGUGUCAGAAACCAAACUACCGGGACCGCAGUUAGACAACUGAGGAAGUGUCAGAAACCAAACUACCGGGACCGCAGCUAGACAACUGAGGAAGUGGCAGAAACCAAACUACCGGGACCGCAGUUAGACAACUGAGGAAGCGUCAGAAACCAAACUACCGGGAGUGCAGCUAGACAACUGAGGAAGUGUCAGAAACCAAACUACCGGGAGUGCAGCUAGACAACUGAGGAAGUGUCAGAAACCAAACUACCGGGACCGCAGUUAGACAACUGAGGAAGCGUCAGAAACCAAACUACCGGGAGUGCAGCUAGACAACGGAGGAAGUGUCAGAAACCAAACUACCGGGAGUGCAGCUAGACAACUGAGGAAGUGUCAGAAACCAAACUACCGGGAGUGCAGUUAGACAACUGAGGAAGCGUCAGAAACCAAACUACCGGGAGUGCAGCUAGACAACUGAGGAAGUGUCAGAAACCAAACUACCGGGAGUGCAGCUAGACAACUGAGGAAGUGUCAGAAACCAAACUACCGGGAGUGCAGUUAGACAACUGAGGAAGCGUCAGAAACCAAACUACCGGGAGUGCAGCUAGACAACUGAGGAAGUGUCAGAAACCAAACUACCGGGAGUGCAGUUAGACAACUGAGGAAGUGUCAGAAACCAAACUACCGGGACCGCUGUUAGACAACUGAGGAAGUGGCAGAAACCAAACUACUAGGAGUUCUCUCUCUCUUCCCUCCUCUCUCUCUCUCUCUCUUCCCUCCUCUCCCCGCUCUCUCUCUCCUCUCUCCCCAAAAGAGACACCUGUUUGAACUCUCUCUCUCUCUCUCUCUCUCUCUCUCUCUCUCUCUCUCUCUCUCUCGCGCUCUCUCUCUCUCUGUCACUCUCUCUCUCUCUCCGUCUCUCCCUCCCCUCUCUCUCCCUCCCCUCUCUCCCUUCCCUCUCCCCCUCGCCUCUCUCCCUCCCCUCUCUCUCUCUCCCUCCCCUCUCUCCCUUCCCUCUCCCUCCCCUCUCUCCCUUCUCUCCCUUCCCUCUCCCCCUCGCCUCUCUCCCUCCCCUCUCUCUCUCUCCCUCCCCUCCCCUCUCCACCUCCCCUCUCCCUCUCCUCCUCUCCCUCCCCCUCCUCUCCCCCCUCUCUCUCCCCCUCCUCUCCCCCCUCUCUCCUCCCUCCCCAAUAGUGACACCUGUUUGAACUAU
Oncorhynchus mykiss (rainbow trout) is the source of this 4194-nucleotide long non-coding RNA. The record is from Ensembl. Lineage: Eukaryota; Metazoa; Chordata; Actinopteri; Salmoniformes; Salmonidae.